This 372-nucleotide ribosomal RNA is filed under the name uncultured organism. RNAcentral describes it as "partial 16S ribosomal RNA". It matches the Rfam family "Bacterial small subunit ribosomal RNA", at positions 527 to 896 of the family's 1533-position model. The record is from RNAcentral.
GUAGGUGGCAAGCGUUGUCCGGAAUUAUUGGGCGUAAAGCGCGCGCAGGCGGUUCUUUAAGUCUGAUGUGAAAGCCCACGGCUCAACCGUGGAGGGUCAUUGGAAACUGGGGGACUUGAGUACAGAAGAGGAAAGCGGAAUUCCAAGUGUAGCGGUGAAAUGCGUAGAGAUUUGGAGGAACACCAGUGGCGAAGGCGGCUUUCUGGUCUGUAACUGACGCUGAGGCGCGAAAGCGUGGGGAGCAAACAGGGAUUAGAUACCCUGGUAGUCCACGCCGUAAACGAUGAGUGCUAAGUGUUAGGGGGUUUCCCGCCCCUUAGUGCUGCAGCUAACGCAUUAAGCACUCCGCCUGGGGAUACGGCCGCAAGGCUG